UCUAGAACUCGAGAUAUGAGCUGGACACCAAAUAGUGUCUGGGCUGCAGGACAAAUUCUAACGUCUCUUUUGAUGCUAAGAUUUGAACUUGAAAACUGAAGAUUUCAAUCUUGGACUAUUCAUGAAAGUUUUAGGCCUAUGUCUUAGCUUUCCAUC
Non-coding RNA from Populus trichocarpa (black cottonwood), 156 nucleotides. The record is from Rfam. Lineage: Eukaryota; Viridiplantae; Streptophyta; Magnoliopsida; Malpighiales; Salicaceae.